Molecule: long non-coding RNA, 491 nt
Organism: Vicia villosa (hairy vetch)
Lineage: Eukaryota; Viridiplantae; Streptophyta; Magnoliopsida; Fabales; Fabaceae
Exons: 2
Source: RefSeq, a predicted model, not a curated record
CUCUAUAUAUAGAUAACAUAAUAUUAGUUUGUUUAUUAAGAUUAUAGUAAGUAUUAAUCAUGAACAAGGCACAUUUUGGGGUUUUCUUCAUUUUUCUUAUUCUCCUUGCUUCACAGAUGGUGGUAGAAUCCAAGAGAGCACAUUGUGAGACAAAGAGUUAUCUAUUUCAAGGGAUUUGUUUGAGUAAUCGCAAUUGUGCAAAAGUUUGUCAUGUUGAAGGUUAUAUUGCAGGUGGUAAAUGUAGAGGAUUGUUUAGUUACUGCUCUUGCAAAAAGAGUUGUUAACAUAAGUUGGUGCUAAUGUGUACUCUAACUUAUGUAACUUGUGUUACUCUUAUGAUAAAGAAGAAGAAUGCAAACAAUAUUCUCUUUAAAAAAGUUUCUUAACAAACUUUUUCUAUUAAUUAAAAAAGAGUAUAUUAAAAACAUUAUGUAUGGAGAAUGUGUUCUAAGUCCUUUUAUAACAAAUUUUAUGGCGAUAUUUAAGUAGUA